Molecule: ribosomal RNA, 505 nt
Filed under: uncultured bacterium
Lineage: Bacteria
Description: partial 16S ribosomal RNA
Rfam family: Bacterial small subunit ribosomal RNA
Source: RNAcentral
GACGAACGCUGGCGGCGUGCCUAAUACAUGCAAGUAGAACGCACAGUUUAUACCGUAGCUUGCUACACCAUAGACUGUGAGUUGCGAACGGGUGAGUAACGCGUAGGUAACCUGCCUGGUAGCGGGGGAUAACUAUUGGAAACGAUAGCUAAUACCGCAUAAUAUUGAUUAUUGCAUGAUAAUUGAUUGAAAGAUGCUAUUGCAUCACUACCAGAUGGACCUGCGUUGUAUUAGCUAGUAGGUGAGGUAACGGCCCACCUAGGCGACGAUACAUAGCCGACCUGGGAGGGUGGUCGGCCACACUGGGACUGAGACACGGCCCCGACUCCUACGGGAGGCAGCCGUGGGGGAUCUUCGGCAAUGGACGAAAGUCUGACCGAGCAACGCCGCGUGAGUGGAGAAGGUUUUCGGAUCGUAAAGCUCUGUUGUAAGAGAAGAACGGGUGUGAGAGUGGAAAGUUCACACUGUGACGGUAUCUUACCAGAAAGGGACGGCUAACUACGUG